RNAcentral lists this ribosomal RNA (441 nucleotides) under uncultured bacterium. RNAcentral's name for it is "partial 16S ribosomal RNA". It matches the Rfam family "Bacterial small subunit ribosomal RNA", at positions 338 to 795 of the family's 1533-position model. The record is from RNAcentral.
CCUACUGGUGGCAGCAGUGGGGAAUAUUGCACAAUGGCGGAAACCCUGAUGCAGCAACGCCGCGUGAGUGAAGAAGUAUUUCGGUAUGUAAAGCUCUAUCAGCAGGGAAGAAGAAAGACGGUACCUUACUAAGAAGCCCCGGCUAACUACGUUCCAGCAGCCUCGGUAAUACGUAGGGGGCAAGCGUUAUCCGGCUUUACUGGGUGUAACGGGUGCGUAGGUGGUAUGGCAAGGUAGUAGCGUAACUCCAAGGCUUCACCUUGGAACUACUACUAAAACUGUUGGACUUGAGUGCAGGAGGGGCAACCGGAAUUCCUAGUGUAGCGGUGGAAUGCGUAGAUAUUAGGAGGAACACCAGUGGCGAAGGCGGGUUGCUAGACUGUAACUGACACUGAGGCACGAAAGCGUGGGGAGCAAACAGGAUUAGAUACCCGGGUAGUC